CGUCGGCGAUCUGCGGGCAGAUGAAGUGGACGUGCGCGUCGACCGCGCCGGCGGUGAGGAUCCGCCCGUUGCCCGCGAUGAUCUCGGUCUCGGGGCCGAGGACCAGGUCGGGGUGGACGCCGUCCAUCGUGUCCGGGUUGCCGGCCUUGCCGAUCGCGGUGAUCCGGCCGUCGCGGAUGCCGACGUCGGCCUUGACGAUCCCCCAGUGGUCGAUGAUCACCGCGCCCGUGAUGACGGUGUCCGGGGUGCCGUCUGCGCGCGUAGCACGCGACUGCCCCAUGGACUCACGGAUG
This is a small RNA of Streptomyces sp. WM6386, 293 nucleotides long. It matches the Rfam family "5' ureB small RNA". The record is from Rfam. Lineage: Bacteria; Bacillati; Actinomycetota; Actinomycetes; Kitasatosporales; Streptomycetaceae.